GUCCCUUCGAGACCUAGGAUCGCUGGCUGGAAAGGCAGGGUGGCAGUUGCCUUUUUCUAGAUUGUGGAGAGGGAGAUUCCUUAUGGCCAUGAGGCCCUUGUGGUACAAACCCGGGAACCAUGUAGGGGGCACCUGGGCAUGGGACUCUCCCUGCUGCCCCCGAUAUGACAUCAUCUGCCCUGACUGAGCUGAUACAUGAAGCAAAACCUGCUUGUCCUCCCUCACUUGUGGCUAGACCUCUGUCACGGCUCCGUACAGGGGAGACAAAGCAGAGAGCUGCAGGAGGGUGGAACGGCUCUGACCGGAGCUGGGGUGGUUUGCUGAGGACCCACACCCAUGAAUGCCCUCUAUGGGUCGUUUGUCCCUUCCACGCACAGCCACCGAGUCGGUGUGGGCUCACCAUCACCCAGAGCAGAGAACAUGCCGAAAGGGACAGAGAGGACAUGGAAGACCAGUGAGGCACUCCAGCGGUGGUCCCCCGGCCGGGAUGGUGGUACCUGACUCAGGCCAGGCGAUGGCAAAGAAGAUCAAAGGGAGGAGGCGACAGAUCACUCUGGAGAUGGAUUCAAAAGCACCUCCCCAGAAACACUGGACAGCAAAGAUUCUGGAACCUGUCAAGGCUCAUGACCCCAGAGCCAGUGCUUCCUGGGGCUGUGACUCCAACGGAAUAGCUUAACCUCCCUGUCCCUCAUUUUCUUCUUGUGACAAAGAAGCUAAAAGUAGGGUAAAGCUCUUAGAUAGAGGAGGGCACACAGUAAAGACCAUAUAUGAUGUACAUUAUCACUGCAAAUGAAUUUGAGAGAGAAAAAGGGUCAAGGCCAACUUCAAGGCUAUAAAAAGUUUUAUGCACUGAGCUUUGAAAAGCCCCCAGAAUUCAGAAUGUGUCACAAACAGACCUUCAGUGAUUAUGAAAAGUCUUAAAAUUGCCCAGAUGGGUGUGGCUCAGUUGGUUGGGUGUUGUCCUGCAAAGCAAAAAGAUCGCCAGUUCGAUUCCAGGUCAGGGCACAUGUCUGAGCUGCGGGCCAAGUCCAAGAGGCAACCAAUCGAUGUUUCCCUCUUACAUGGAUGUUUCUCUCCUCACUUUCCCCCUCCCUUCCUCUCUGUUUAUAAAAUCUUUUUAAAAAUUAAAAAGCCUUAAAAUGUACAUAGCCUUGAUUCAGCAGAUCUCCCACUGGGAAUCUAUCCCCUGGAAAUAAUCAAGGAAGGACCUGUGCAAAGCUUUGAUUACAGAAAUACCCAUCAAAACUCUGCUUUGAUUGUGAAGAAUUGAAAACUACCUAGUUAUCUAAUAGAGGGACAUUGAUUAAAUAAAUUCUGCU
Phyllostomus hastatus (greater spear-nosed bat) is the source of this 1319-nucleotide long non-coding RNA. RefSeq lists it as uncharacterized. The record is from RefSeq and is a predicted model, not a curated record. Lineage: Eukaryota; Metazoa; Chordata; Mammalia; Chiroptera; Phyllostomidae. The transcript has 3 exons.